RNAcentral lists this ribosomal RNA (522 nucleotides) under uncultured bacterium. RNAcentral describes it as "partial 16S ribosomal RNA". It matches the Rfam family "Bacterial small subunit ribosomal RNA", at positions 28 to 507 of the family's 1533-position model. The record is from RNAcentral.
GAUGAACGCUGGCGGCGUGCCUAAUACAUGCAAGUCGAACGCUUUGUCUUUAUUUGAUAUGAAGAGCUUGCUCUGAUUUGAUUUUAUCUGACAAAGAGUGGCGAACGGGUGAGUAACACGUGGGUAACCUACCUCUUAGCAGGGGAUAACAUUUGGAAACAAGUGCUAAUACCGUAUAACACUAACAACCGCAUGGUUGUUAGUUGAAAGAUGGUUCUGCUAUCACUAAGAGAUGGACCCGCGGUGCAUUAGCUAGUUGGUAAGGUAAUGGCUUACCAAGGCGAUGAUGCGUAGCCGAGUUGAGAGACUGGUCGGCCACACUGGGACUGAGACACGGCCCAUACUCCUACGGGAGGCAGCAGUAGGGAAUCUUCCACAAUGGGCGCAAGCCUGAUGGAGCAACGCCGCGUGUGUGAUGAAGGGUUUCGGCUCGUAAAACACUGUUAUAAGAGAAGAACGACAUUGAGAGUAACUGUUCAGUGUGUGACGGUAUCUUAUCAGAAAGGACCGGCUAAAUACGUG